This 4428-nucleotide long non-coding RNA is filed under the name Olea europaea subsp. europaea. The stretch from base 924 to 1052 matches the Rfam family "mir-172 microRNA precursor family". The record is from RNAcentral. Lineage: Eukaryota; Viridiplantae; Streptophyta; Magnoliopsida; Lamiales; Oleaceae.
UAACUGUCUAACCCUUUUCUUCCUCUCCCUUUCCCUCUCCCUCUCCCUCUCUCAAACACAGACACACCAGAAGAGAGUUACACAUCAGGCUUGUCGACUCUUGUUCUUUUAUGUAAUUUUUUCAUAUAUGAUAUUGAAUUUCUACUAUGACUAGUUAGCUGAGCAAACAUCUGAAUUUUUAUUCACUGCGUAUUUUUUUUUUACCAUCUUCUUUAGAUCGGAUUCACUAGCCUUUUAAACCUUCCUUCUUUAUCCGGAAUUGAGAACGGAUAGUUGAUCCUCUUCAGAUACUCCUUUUGUUCUGUUUUGGUUUUUUUUUUUUUGCUUUUUUUUUUUUUUUGUUUUUUUUUUUUCAGAAAUUCAUAUUUCUGCGAGUUAGUAUAUAAAAACCUUGUCUUUUCUCGGUGGAUUAAUUUAACUUAUCCAACAAAAGAAGAUAAGUUUUAAUCGAUGCUGGAAUCAACACGAUAUUCGAUACAUAUUAAGAACUUCUGCGUUUUAUUAAUAGGUUACUUUUUUGUAGUCAUUUUCUGUGAUAGAGAUAUAUAUUAAAGCAAUUUAAAAAAUAUGUUAUUUAAAUUAUAUCCAAAGUUAUUGAAAAAGGGGUUUUUAUUUUUGUUCUUUUGUGGCUUAUUCAUUGAUAAUGGGCCACAUCAGCCUCAUGCUGGUGGCUUUCUUGCCAGCUGAUUUCUAUGAGUGACGGGUGUUUGAACACCCACACCCGCACAUAAAACUUACUCUGCAAGAUUUUUCAGAACUCAAUAUCUUGGUGAUAUUUUGCAUACUCUUAUAUAAUUGGUCGGAAAUCAAGAUCGAGCAAAUGAAGAUUUUGGAUGAAUAUUGACUCAACUCUAUUGUUCAACUUCAAUCGUUCUCAGUAGAACUCGGAGGCACUUAUAGUUGAAACGGCUUGUCAACAGUCGUCGUUUGCUGGUGCAGCAUCAUCAAGAUUCACAUGAAAUGCAAGGUGGUGAUUUCGUCUCUCUCCUCUAUCUCUCACUGCCAUAGCUUUUUGGUGGUGAGAAUCUUGAUGAUGCUGCAUCGGCAAUAAACGACUAGCAAAUCAAUGGAAUUGUCUGUCACAGCUUUCCAUGACUCCUUUGUAUCAUUAACUAGGUAAAAGCUCACUAUUUUUCAGUUAUUUAUGUGAUUCCGCCAUAUGGGAUUUUGGUAUUUUUUGUGUUAGUUUAUGUGAAUUCUUGUAAAAAUAAGUUAAAAUCUUGUUCAUAAAAUGCAUAUUGGAUAUACCAGUACCACACUGGAUAUUUUCUUUAAUAUUGUUCUCUUUCUUUACCAAGUAAGUUAUAAUUGUAUACCAAACAUUAUUUCAUUUUUAUUAUUUAUUUUUUAUUGAAAAAAAAACAUUGUUUCAUUUUUGUGUGUAAGAGUGAGGUUAUUCAUUUUUGUAUCAGUUCUUCGUAGAAGUGACUGCUGAAGGGAUUCACUCUAUUGAUCGAAUUCAUAGACCUGUGAUUAUUCUUGUGCAGAAAAAGUCUUGAUGGAAUCUUUAAUACAAAGGAAUAUUAUCAGAAGCCAAAAACUUUGGAGAAAUUCUUUAUUAAGGAUGUUGCACAAAUAAAUUAAUUUAAACAGGUGAUUAUUUUUCAUUUUUGUUUAGUUUAUCCACAUUCAUUAUUGGAUAUUUACAUUGCUCAUUGCUUUUUCUUUUUUUUUUUUCCCCCCAGAAAGUUUUUGAUAUGUUGUUUCUCAUACCGUGGAUGAUGGACACAUGACAUGUUAUUAGACAAGAAUUUGCAGUGCCAAAAACAGGUGAGGCCACCUUCUAAUCUUUUUAUUAUUCUCUAAUGACACGACAUUAAAUCGAAGUGCACUUAAUCAACUAAACAUUAUCGACAAAAUCUUUCUCUUACACAAUGAGGCAGUAUCGUUAAACACGCUUUAAAUGCUUGUAGAUAUUGAACAAGAUUGAUUUUGCCUUCUUUUGACAAAUUUAUAAAUGAUUUAUACAGAGGAAUAUUAGUGUAUGCCACAAAAUGUGUUCACUAUAAUAAGUAGUAGCUAUUAAUACGUGGUUGAAUUUAAUUUUUGACUUCGAUCCAUCUUAUUAUAAAAUAUAAAUCAUUUGUAAAUUUGCAUCCAAACUGAGAGUUUUAUGUUUCUUGGUCAUAUCUAAAGGAGAUUCAAAUUAAAUUUGAUUGUUUUAUGGACAUAAUUCAAAGUGGAGUGUUUUCUUGUGAACAAAUUAAUGGAUUCUUUGAAAAUUGCAACUUUUCUUGGAAAAAUUCAUGAUAGUACUGCCAUUGUUGGAGCUUGAUUGCUCUUAACACUUAUCACCAUCAGUCCAGUUAAGUGGACCUACGUGUUGCGACUUGGCAUGUACUCUCCCUCAGAGAAAUUUUCAGUCCACCAAUUUCUCACCUCUAAAUAAUAGUACCAAUUAUCUUCAUUUUGCACCAUUUUUGACAAUGAUGAUUCGGACAAUUUAUUUCAACACCUAUCUAUGUUUACUCUUAUUAAAUUUCAGGUUUGAAUCAUUUUGUGACAUUCCAUUACGUGUUUAAAUAUCAAAUUAAGAUAAACAAACAAAUAUACUUGACCUAGAUUAACGAGAAAAGUUAAUAUUUUUUAUAUUUGUCUUAAUGGAAAAUUUUAUUCACAUUGUAGGUGAGAUUACAAAUUGUCGAUGGUUUAACACUAAAGUGUGUCGGAAUGGGUGUAAAUAUAUAAAAUAAUUAGAUGAAGUGGUUUAACACUAAACUAUCGAGCAUGUUGUGCCAGUAUAUUAACUGAGUGAUUUGUGUGCAAUGAAAAAAUUAGCAAGGGAAACAAGCCAAAGAAAUACCCGUAUAAUAUAAACUAGAAUAAGUAAUACAUUAGGAUUUAAUUUCCCGUAUUUGAUAAUUUCCUUUCUAAAUUAUUUGUUUGAGAUAAUUGUAGCAAAAACUUCAAACCUUUGAAACACUAAUUGACUUUUCCUAAAUCUUUCAAACACUACAGUCGUCAACCCAAACUUUUCAACCAUUGCAUCACAGGCCUUUUUGGAUUGUUUCCUUCCAGUCCGUCGUCAGUUUAAAAUUAAUUUUGAACACAUUUUGAUCAAAUGAGAGCAAAAUGUUACUUCCAUAUUUAUCACAUUAAAGAAUUAAAAUAAUUAAAUUACAAAACAAAAAAAAAACAAAAAAGAAAUGAAACGGAAAAGCCAAUCUUUCUUCUACCUAAAUCCAUCCCGCCCUUAAUGUCUACAACCGCUAGCGACUAUCGACGUCAUUGCAAAGCUUCAACACCAUUACUCCACACUCACUCAUCACUACCACCGCAAACCAACUACCAUCAUCGCUACCAUCGAAUCCAACAUUACCGUCAUCCCCAAAAAUUGCCACCCCCAUCUCCCGACCAAAAAUCAAACCCAAGCAAUAAAAUCAUUCGUCACCUCAGCCAUCAGCCAUGAACCACAAACACACAAACCGUACAUACUAUUGGGCAAACGACAAUAUAUAUAUAGAUCAAACUCCAAAGCAUCAAGAAUCGCACAUUUUUUCUAAAAAUUCUAAUAAAUCCAACAAUACUCACGGUCACGCACUAUUGUCAGUCGGUAAGCCUCAUCUAGGCAAAAGUUCAUUUUGAAACAUCAUCAAAAAUAGUUCUAGUCUGUCGUACCGCAAAACGAAGUCAAUCAGCCUCAUUCAAUUCAUCGGUUGGAGUAGAGGAAUAAGAAUGUGUUUUACGAGGUGGUUGAGAAGUGGAAGUAGUAUGCGUGCAACAUUUUGCGCUGUUGAUGGCACUGAUGAUGACUAGGUGGUAUUGGUUUUUGUUUGGGGUGUGAGGUGUAGGGUUUUGGGUGAAGACGAUAAAUAUUUUUAUUUUUCUUCAUUUCCUUUUUUAUUUUUUUGUAUUUAUUUACUUUAAUUAAAUAAUGUAGUAAAUUGAAAGUUACUAUUUUACCUUUUAUAAAAUUAUAAAAAAAUGUCCAAACUCACUUUUGGGUCAACUAAUAGAAAUAUGAAUGAAAAUCAUCCAAAAGAUUUGAGUGACAGCUAUAACGUUUGAAAAGUUUGGAGAAAGCCUGCUAAUAUUUCGAAGAUUUGGAGCUUUUGCUGCAAUUAUCCCUAUUUGUUUAGAUAAGCAACUUCUAUCCUUUUUUUUCUAAGGAGUUCAAUGUAAAAUAGGAGUAGGGUUUUUUUAGUUACAAAAUCACUACUGAUUUUUAUUAUUGAGAUAUAUUGAGUUCCUCUCUUCUUUGUCUAUGUUGUUCACUUUAAUUUUAAAUACACUGCACAUAAUAAGUAGUUAACUUUUUUAUUUUAAACUGAACCAGCUAACUUUAAGUUCGAAUGUUAUUUUGUCUCUAACAACAAGUUGUUUGUUAAUUCUUCUACAUGAGUCGAUUAUGACUUUCUUUUAAUCCCUUUCAACUGGAAAAAUAUGAUAGCAAAAUCGAAUUUGUUUAAUAUCUUUUCUAGAGUGCUG